AUUGAACGCUGGCGGCAGGCCUAACACAUGCAAGUCGAGCGGAUGAAGGGAGCUUGCUCCUGGAUUCAGCGGCGGACGGGUGAGUAAUGCCUGGGAAUCUGCCUGGUAGUGGGGGAUAACGUCCGGAAACGGGCGCUAAUACCGCAUACGUCCUGAGGGAGAAAGUGGGGGAUCUUCGGACCUCACGCUAUCAGAUGAGCCUAGGUCGGAUUAGCUAGUUGGUGGGGUAAAGGCCUACCAAGGCGACGAUCCGUAACUGGUCUGAGAGGAUGAUCAGUCACACUGGAACUGAGACACGGUCCAGACUCCUACGGGAGGCAGCAGUGGGGAAUAUUGGGCAAUGGGCGAAAGCCUGAUCCAGCCAUGCCGCGUGUGUGAAGAAGGUCUUCGGAUUGUAAAGCACUUUAAGUUGGGAGGAAGGGCAGUAAGUUAAUACCUUGCUGUUUUGACGGUACCAACAGAAUAAGCACCGGCUAACUUCGUG
RNAcentral lists this ribosomal RNA (484 nucleotides) under uncultured bacterium. RNAcentral's name for it is "partial 16S ribosomal RNA". It matches the Rfam family "Bacterial small subunit ribosomal RNA", at positions 30 to 507 of the family's 1533-position model. The record is from RNAcentral.